Molecule: ribosomal RNA, 503 nt
Filed under: uncultured bacterium
Lineage: Bacteria
Description: partial 16S ribosomal RNA
Rfam family: Bacterial small subunit ribosomal RNA
Source: RNAcentral
GAUGAACGCUAGCGGCAGGCCUAACACAUUCAAGUCGAGGGGUAGCAGGAUUAAGCUUGCUUAAUUGCUGACGACCGGCGCACGGGUGCGUAACGCGUAUGCAACCUACCUUAUACUGGGGUAUAGCCCGGAGAAAUUCGGAUUAAUCCCCCAUAGUACUAAUUAAUCGCAUGGUUUAUUAGUUAAAGCAUUGCGGUAUAAGAUGGGCAUGCGUCCUAUUAGCUAGAUGGUGAGGUAACGGCUCACCAUGGCUACGAUAGGUAGGGGGCCUGAGAGGGUGGUCCCCCACACUGGUACUGAGACACGGACCAGACUCCUACGGGAGGCAGCAGUGAGGAAUAUUGGUCAAUGGGCGCAAGCCUGAACCAGCCAUGCCGCGUGCAGGAAGAAUGCCCUAUGGGUUGUAAACUGCUUUCAUUUGGGAAUAAACCUCUUUACGUGUAGAGAGCUGAAGGUACCAAAUGAAUAAGCACCGGCUAACUCCGUGCCAGCCGCCGCGGUAA